UCAGGCCUAACACAUGCAAGUCGAGCGAGGACUUCGGUCCUAGCGGCGGACGGGUGAGUAACGCGUGGGAACGUGCCCUUUGCUUCGGAAUAGCCCUGGGAAACUGGGAGUAAUACCGGAUGAGCCCUACGGGGGAAAGAUUUAUCGGCGAAGGAUCGGCCCGCGUUGGAUUAGGUAGUUGGUGGGGUAAUGGCCUACCAAGCCGACGAUCCAUAGCUGGUUUGAGAGGAUGAUCGGCCACACUGGGACUGAGACACGGCCCAGACUCCUACGGGAGGCAGCAGUGGGGAAUCUUAGACAAUGGGGGAAACCCUGAUCUAGCCAUGCCGCGUGAGCAAAGGAGGCCUUAGGGUUGUAAAGCUCUUCAGCGGGAAGAUAAUG
RNAcentral lists this ribosomal RNA (381 nucleotides) under uncultured bacterium. RNAcentral describes it as "bacterial SSU rRNA". It matches the Rfam family "Bacterial small subunit ribosomal RNA", at positions 42 to 453 of the family's 1533-position model. The record is from RNAcentral.